Molecule: ribosomal RNA, 1802 nt
Filed under: Gammarus nekkensis
Lineage: Eukaryota; Metazoa; Arthropoda; Malacostraca; Amphipoda; Gammaridae
Description: SSU rRNA
Rfam family: Eukaryotic small subunit ribosomal RNA
Source: RNAcentral
CACUGCUCUGACGGAUGCUUUUAUUAGACCAAGCCGCUGAGGACUUGAGGGCUUGCUCUCCUGUCUGACUCGUGUAAUGGUGACUCUGGAUAACCAAAUUUCUGACAAGCGCACGUACUUCUCUUCUGAGCGAGACGGCGCUGCCACUUUCGAGUGUCUGCCUUAUCAGCUAUCAACCGUUCGUUAUGCGCGACCGAUGGCUUUGACGGGUAACGGGGAAUCAGGGUUCGAUUCCGGAGAGGCAGCCUGAGAGACGGCUACCACGUCCAAGGACGGCAGCAGGCACGCAAAUUACCCAAUCCCAGCAAAUGGGGGAGGUAGUGACGAAAUCUAACGAUGCGGGCGCCCUUUCUGGGGCCCCGCAAUCGGAAUGGGCACUUUCUAAACAACCUGUUGAGAACCUACUGAAGGGCAAGUCUGGUGCCAGCAGCCGCGGUAAUUCCAGCUUCAGCAGCAUCUAUUAAAGUUGCUGCGGUUAAAAGGCUCGCAGUUGAAUGUCUGUAUCGAGCGCAGGUCAGGUGGACGUUGGGGCGUGGAAGUACGGGCAGUUGGAUGUCCGGAGGGCCUUCGUGCUCAACGGCUCCUUCGGCUUUUCCACACACCCCCGUCCGUGACAAGCCUCCUCGCUCGGGUACAUAACGGGAAUCGGUCAAACGGAGUGUGGUCGGGGGUUGGGGCGCGUGGCCUCGGUUGCGUGUCUCUUCUUUCGGCUGCGUUAAGCUCCAUCGGUUUCACGGUCACCUUGAGUAAAUCAGAGUGCUCAAAGCAGUCGUAGGGGCCUUGCGCCCUGUGAACAGUCUUGACGGACUGACUUGGUUUUGCAUGGCAUGUCGGAAGACGACGUCGUGUGCUGGCUCAGAGGAUAAAUCAGUGGUACAAGCCAGCCUCGACGUAAUGAUUAAAAGGGACGGUCGAGGGCAUUGGUAUUGCGAGGCGAGAGGUGAAAUUCUGUGACCCCCGCAAGACCUCCUGAAGCGAAAGCGUCUGCCAAGGACGUUUUCAUUAAUCAUGAACGAAAGUUAGAGGAUCGAAGGCGAUCAGAUACCGCCCUAGUUCUAACCCUAAACGAUGCCAACCAUCAAUCCGCGCGUAGCACCCUUCUUAACGGGCUCGGCGGGCAGCUCCCCACUCACGGGAAACCAGAGCCUCUGGGUUCCGGGGGGAGUCUGGUUGCAAAGCUGAAACUUAAAGGAAUUGACGGAAAGGCACCACCAGGCGUGGAGCCUGCGGCUUAAUUUGACUCAACACGGGCCAUCUCACCAGGCCAGCACUCUUGUACGAUUGACAGAUUGAGAGCUCUCUCGAUUCAGUGGAUGGUGGUGCAUGGCCGUUCUUAGUUGGUGGAGUGAUCUGUCUGGUUAAUUCCGAUAACGAACGAGACUCUCCCCUGCUAACUAGUCGGUUGGAUCUUGAUCAGCGGGUUGCGUGCCGAGUAACUCUCGCUGUGCGUGGUGCGUAGCUGGGCCUCACGGUUCGUUGCGUGCUCGCGUGGCGUUGGAUGCCUUGGAUUACACUGCACCCCAAGUCCGCCGCUUAUGCUAUAACUCUUCUUAGAGGGAUUCACGGCACUGAAGCCGUAAGAGACUGAGAGCAAUAACAGGUCUGUGAUGCCCUUAGAUGCUCUGGGCCGCACGCGCGCUACAAUGCCGGGCACAGCAGGUGUUUCUCCUUCUCCGACAGGAGCGGGUAACCCCUCUGAAAGCCAGUGUUCUUGCAAGUGCUUCCUCCCUCGUGGAGUUGCACAGAGGCGUGCUUGGGCCUGGGACUUGCAAUUCUUUCCCACCAACGAGGAAUGCCUAGUA